RNAcentral lists this ribosomal RNA (496 nucleotides) under uncultured Glomeromycotina. Its description in RNAcentral is "partial small subunit ribosomal RNA". It matches the Rfam family "Eukaryotic small subunit ribosomal RNA", at positions 591 to 1092 of the family's 1831-position model. Lineage: Eukaryota; Fungi; Glomeromycota. The record is from RNAcentral.
CCAAUAGCGUAUAUUAAAGUUGCUGCAGUUAAAAAGCUCGUAGUUGAAUUUCGGGACUAAUAUGUCGGUCGUGCCUCGGUACGUACUGGUAUUUUUGGUUUCUCCCUUCUGACGAACCUUGAUGUCAUUAAUUUGGUGUCUUGGGAAAUCAGGACUGUUACUUUGAAAAAAUUAGAGUGUUUAAAGCAGGCUCACGCUUGAAUACAUUAGCAUGGAAUAAUGAAAUAGGACGUUUGAUUCUAUUUUGUUGGUUUCUAGGAUCGACGUAAUGAUUAAUAGGGAUAGUUGGGGGCAUUAGUAUUCAAUUGUCAGAGGUGAAAUUCUUGGAUUUAUUGAAGACUAACUACUGCGAAAGCAUUUGCCAAGGAUGUUUUCAUUAAUCAAGAACGAAAGUUAGGGGAUCGAAGACGAUCAGAUACCGUCGUAGUCUUAACCAUAAACUAUGCCGACUAGGGAUCGGAUGAUGUUAAUUUUUUGACUCGGCGGGCAGCUUCCG